Molecule: ribosomal RNA, 253 nt
Filed under: uncultured bacterium
Lineage: Bacteria
Description: partial 16S ribosomal RNA
Rfam family: Bacterial small subunit ribosomal RNA
Source: RNAcentral
CACGUAGGAGGCGAGCGUUGUCCGGAAUCAUUGGGCGUAAAGAGCGCGCAGGCGGCUUGACAAGUCGGGUGUGAAAUCCCGGGGCUCAACCCCGGGACUGCAUUCGAUACUGUCAGGCUAGAGGUAGGUAGGGGAGAUCGGAAUUCCUGGUGUAGCGGUGAAAUGCGCAGAUAUCAGGAGGAACACCGGUGGCGAAGGCGGGUCUCUGGGCCGAUACUGACGCUGAGGAGCGAAAGCGUGGGGAGCGAACAGG